This 426-nucleotide long non-coding RNA is filed under the name Homo sapiens (human). RNAcentral describes it as "PREDICTED lncRNA (TCONS_00040101)". Lineage: Eukaryota; Metazoa; Chordata; Mammalia; Primates; Hominidae. The record is from RNAcentral.
GUUAUCUUCGCUCAGGCGCCCCCACGUGUCGAUCCCGAGACUCUCGGCUUGCGCAGGCGCUCUUUGGUGUUUACAGCGGCCGCGAAGCCCCGCGUUUGCGCGUGCGCUUCCCGCCCGGGACCGCCCAGAGGUCCCGGACUAGGGGCGGACUAGGGGCCGCUCUGCCUCCCGCCCCCUAGUGGUUGUGGCCGCUCUGUCACCACGGCUCCCGGGGCCUCUGUCGGCUCCACUUUGGUUGAGACGUCUCCACAGCCCAACAACGGCGGCGAUCUGAGGAGAGGCAGGAGAAAAUACGGCGCGCUCGGCAUCGUCCUUCUGACCGGGGACUCCAGCAUCUCAGUCAUCGCGUCACCAAGCCCCACGGACUAUGGAAAGACUACAUUUCUCAACCUUCCUAGUAGAUGUGAUGUCACCAGUCGGAAUUGG